UGGGUACGUUAAAACAUACAUUAUGCACUUUACAAAUUUUGUUUCCUAAAGGUUUAUGCUUUUGUUUUGCAGAUGUAUGAGACGAGACUUCUACCUCAUGAAAGUGAUCAAAUUGUAGUUUCCAUCGUACUGAAAAAUCAGAGUUCUUCUGUUAUUAAGGAGCUGGUUUUCAGCAUGUGUGAUACUCCAGCUGUGAGACUGCUUAGAGCUAACAGAGAUGAUCAGUUUGGAAUUAAGAUGCACUUCCAGCUCCCAGCAAGGUGUAAUAGUGAAGCUCA
Cryptotermes secundus is the source of this 278-nucleotide long non-coding RNA. RefSeq lists it as uncharacterized. The transcript is spliced from 2 exons. Lineage: Eukaryota; Metazoa; Arthropoda; Insecta; Blattodea; Kalotermitidae. The record is from RefSeq and is a predicted model, not a curated record.